Molecule: ribosomal RNA, 460 nt
Filed under: uncultured bacterium
Lineage: Bacteria
Description: partial 16S ribosomal RNA
Rfam family: Bacterial small subunit ribosomal RNA
Source: RNAcentral
CCUACGGGUGGCAGCAGUGAGGAAUAUUGGUCAAUGGCCGUAAGGCUGAACCAGCCAAGUCGCGUGAAGGAAGAAGGAUCUAUGGUUUGUAAACUUCUUUUAUAGGGGAAUAAAGGUAUCCACGUGUGGAUUUUUGCAUUUACCCUAUGAAUAAGCAUCGGCUAACUCCGUGCCAGCAGCCGCGGUAAUACGGAGGAUGCGAGCGUUAUCCGGAUUUAUUGGGUUUAAGGGGUGCGUAGGUUGUUUUUUAAGUCAGCGGUGAAAGUUUGUGGCUCAACCAUAAAAUUGCCGUUGAAACUGGAAGACUUGAGUGUGUUUGAGGUAGGCGGAAUGCGUGGUGUAGCGGUGAAAUGCAUAGAUAUCACGAAGAACCCCGAUUGCGAAGGCAGCUUACUAAACUGUGACUGACAUUGAUGCUCGAAAGUGUGGGUAUCAAACAGGAUUAGAUACCCGGGUAGUC